Molecule: small RNA, 815 nt
Filed under: uncultured Davidiella
Lineage: Eukaryota; Fungi; Ascomycota; Dothideomycetes; Cladosporiales; Cladosporiaceae
Description: eukaryotic LSU rRNA
Rfam family: Eukaryotic large subunit ribosomal RNA (bases 533-815)
Source: RNAcentral
CUUGGUCAUUUAGAGGAAGUAAAAGUCGUAACAAGGUCUCCGUAGGUGAACCUGCGGAGGGAUCAUUACAAGUGACCCCGGUCUAACCACCGGGAUGUUCAUAACCCUUUGUUGUCCGACUCUGUUGCCUCCGGGGCGACCCUGCCUUCGGGCGGGGGCUCCGGGUGGACACUUCAAACUCUUGCGUAACUUUGCAGUCUGAGUAAACUUAAUUAAUAAAUUAAAACUUUUAACAACGGAUCUCUUGGUUCUGGCAUCGAUGAAGAACGCAGCGAAAUGCGAUAAGUAAUGUGAAUUGCAGAAUUCAGUGAAUCAUCGAAUCUUUGAACGCACAUUGCGCCCCCUGGUAUUCCGGGGGGCAUGCCUGUUCGAGCGCCAUUUCACCACUCAAGCCUCGCUUGGUAUUGGGCAACGCGGUCCGCCGCGUGCCUCAAAUCGACCGGCUGGGUCUUCUGUCCCCUAAGCGUUGUGGAAACUAUUCGCUAAAGGGUGUUCGGGAGGCUACGCCGUAAAACAACCCCAUUUCUAAGGUUGACCUCGGAUCAGGUAGGGAUACCCGCUGAACUUAAGCAUAUCAAUAAGCGGAGGAAAAGAAACCAACAGGGAUUGCUCUAGUAACGGCGAGUGAAGCAGCAAUAGCUCAAAUUUGAAAUCUGGCGUCUUCGACGUCCGAGUUGUAAUUUGUAGAGGAUGCUUCUGAGUAACCACCGACCUAAGUUCCUUGGAACAGGACGUCAUAGAGGGUGAGAAUCCCGUAUGCGGUCGGAAAGGUGCUCUAUACGUAGCUCCUUCGACGAGUCGAGUUGUUUGGGAAU